Long non-coding RNA from Galleria mellonella (greater wax moth), 349 nucleotides. RefSeq lists it as uncharacterized. The record is from RefSeq and is a predicted model, not a curated record. The transcript has 3 exons. NCBI's taxonomy places the organism in Eukaryota, Metazoa, Arthropoda, Insecta, Lepidoptera, Pyralidae.
CACAAAAGUGCCGCGGCACAGUGGUUGAGAAUCACUGACCUACAGCCUGAGCUUGAAUAUGAACAAGGGUGGAUACUGAAAUUGAACGUUUUAUCAAUAAUCCGUCAUGGAGUGUAUAAAAAAUAAUACGGAUAGAAUGGAAGUGAAUGCAGAAAUGACUGCGAAUAGAGGAGAAUGGAAAUGAAAAACAUAUCGAGCCGAACCUAAAUAAAUAAUUACCAUAAAGUUGCCGUUCAAAGUAUACACCACCUGAUGGCUUGCAAAUAAUAUAGUCUAAACGUUAUUCUUUAAACUUUAAAGGAUCCACGUAAUCUUAUUUCUAUAAUAAAACAUGAUACUGACCUUAGGG